This 497-nucleotide ribosomal RNA is filed under the name uncultured bacterium. RNAcentral describes it as "partial 16S ribosomal RNA". It matches the Rfam family "Bacterial small subunit ribosomal RNA", at positions 28 to 507 of the family's 1533-position model. The record is from RNAcentral.
GAUGAACGCUGGCGGCGUGCCUAAUACAUGCAAGUCGAGCGAACAGACGAGGAGCUUGCUCCUCUGACGUUAGCGGCGGACUGGUGAGUAACACGUGGAUAACCUACCUAUAAGACUGGGAUAACUUCGGGAAACCGGAGCUAAUACCGGAUAAUAUAUUGAACCGCAUGGUUCAAUAGUGAAAGACGGUUUUGCUGUCACUUAUAGAUGGAUCCGCGCCGCAUUAGCUAGUUGGUAAGGUAACGGCUUACCAAGGCAACGAUGCGUAGCCGACCUGAGAGGGUGAUCGGCCACACUGGAACUGAGACACGGUCCAGACUCCUACGGGAGGCAGCAGUAGGGAAUCUUCCGCAAUGGGCGAAAGCCUGACGGAGCAACGCCGCGUGAGUGAUGAAGGUCUUCGGAUCGUAAAACUCUGUUAUUAGGGAAGAACAAAUGUGUAAGUAACUAUGCACGUCUUGACGGUACCUAAUCAGAAAGCCACGGCUAACUACGUG